RNAcentral lists this ribosomal RNA (415 nucleotides) under uncultured bacterium. RNAcentral's name for it is "bacterial SSU rRNA". It matches the Rfam family "Bacterial small subunit ribosomal RNA", at positions 355 to 786 of the family's 1533-position model. The record is from RNAcentral.
UGGGGAAUAUUGCACAAUGGGGGAAACCCUGAUGCAGCGACGCCGCGUGAAGGAUGAAGUAUUUCGGUAUGUAAACUUCUAUCAGCAGGGAAGAAAAUGACGGUACCUGACUAAGAAGCCCCGGCUAACUACGUGCCAGCAGCCGCGGUAAUACGUAGGGGGCGAAGCGUUAUCCGGAUUUACUGGGUGUAAAGGGAGCGUAGACGGCUUAGCAAGUCUGAAGUGAAAGCCCGCGGCUCAACUGCGGGACUGCUUUGGAAACUGUGUUGCUGGAGUGCCGGAGAGGUAAGUGGAAUUCCUAGUGUAGCGGUGAAAUGCGUAGAUAUUAGGAGGAACUCCGAUUGCGAAGGCAGCUGACUGUAUCGUAACUGACGCUGAAGCUCGAAAGUGUGGGUAUCGAACAGGAUUAGAUACC